Molecule: ribosomal RNA, 440 nt
Filed under: uncultured bacterium
Lineage: Bacteria
Description: partial 16S ribosomal RNA
Rfam family: Bacterial small subunit ribosomal RNA
Source: RNAcentral
CCUACGGGUGGCAGCAGUGGGGAAUAUUGCACAAUGGGGGAAACCCUGAUGCAGCGACGCCGCGUGAGUGAAGAAGUAUUUCGGUAUGUAAAGCCCUAUCAGCAGGGAAGAAAAUGACGGUAUCUGACUAAGAAGCCCCGGCUAACUACGUGCCAGCAGCCGCGGUAAUACGUAGGGGGCAAGCGUUAUCCGGAUUUACUGGGCGUAAAGGGCGCAUAGACGGGAGCACAAGUCUGGAGUGAAAUGCCGGGGCUUAACCCCGGAACUGCUUUGGAAACUGUGCAGCUAGAGUGCAGGAGAGGUAGGUGGAAGUCCUGGUGUAGGGGUAAAAUGCGUAGAGAUUAAGAGGAACACUAGUGGCGAAGGCGACUUACUGGACUGUAACUGACGUUGAGGCUCGAAAGCGUGGGGAGCAAACAGGAUUAGAUACCCGAGUAGUC